AUUGAACGCUGGCGGCAGGCCUAACACAUGCAAGUCGAGCGUGAAAAGUCCUUCGGGAUGAGUAAAGCGGCGGACGGGUGAGUAACGCGUAGGAAUCUACCUAAUAGUGGGGGAGUAACGUUUCGAAAGGAACGCUAAUACCGCAUACGUUCUGAGGAAGAAAGACAGGGGAUCGCAAGACCUUGCGCUAUUAGAUGAGCCUGCGUCCGAUUAGCUAGUUGGUGGGGUAAAGGCCUACCAAGGCGACGAUCGGUAACUGGUCUGAGAGGAUGAUCAGUCACACUGGAACUGAGACACGGUCCAGACUCCUACGGGAGGCAGCAGUGGGGAAUAUUGGACAAUGGGGGCGAACCCUGAUCCAGCCAUGCCGCGUGAGUGAUGAAGGCCUUAGGGUUGUAAAGCUCUUUGCCAGGGAAGAUGAUGACUGUACCUGGAGAAUAAGCCCCGGCUAACUUCGUGCCAGCAGCCGCGGUAAU
Molecule: ribosomal RNA, 476 nt
Filed under: uncultured bacterium
Lineage: Bacteria
Description: bacterial SSU rRNA
Rfam family: Bacterial small subunit ribosomal RNA
Source: RNAcentral